This 361-nucleotide ribosomal RNA is filed under the name uncultured bacterium. Its description in RNAcentral is "bacterial SSU rRNA". It matches the Rfam family "Bacterial small subunit ribosomal RNA", at positions 541 to 904 of the family's 1533-position model. The record is from RNAcentral.
UUAUCCGGAUUUAUUGGGUUUAAAGGGUGCGUAGGCGGUUUGAUAAGUUAGAGGUGAAAUCCCGGGGCUUAACUCCGGAACUGCCUCUAAUACUGUUAGACUAGAGAGUAGUUGCGGUAGGCGGAAUGUAUGGUGUAGCGGUGAAAUGCUUAGAGAUCAUACAGAACACCGAUUGCGAAGGCAGCUUACCAAACUAUAUCUGACGUUGAGGCACGAAAGCGUGGGGAGCAAACAGGAUUAGAUACCCUGGUAGUCCACGCAGUAAACGAUGAUAACUCCUUGUCGGCGAUACACAGUCGGUGACUAAGCGAAAGCGAUAAGUUAUCCACCUGGGGAGUACGUUCGCAAGAAUGAAACUCAA